CAUCCCGGACAUAUAUAUAAAAAAAAAAGAGUAACCUGAGCGUGGCAAUACUUUUUAUCGUUUUAAUUUUACAAGAAACAAACGCACAAAACGUUACUGACUACGUGACUCCCGAAAUAACAAUACAAGCGUUGAAACCUAAAGGCUUUCGAGCGUUUAUACCAGGUGAUUCAAGAAUAAAUUUACUUCAUAUUGAAGCGAAUUUUUAUUACUUAGGAAAAUACGUUGGCUAUGUUAGGGAAUUGUGACCAAAGAGAAAGACAGAAAAAGGAUUUACGAAGACCAUGUGUCACAAUUAAAAGUGGGAACCGUUGUGAUAUAUUACGUAUUUGUCGUUUUACAAAAGGGAGGAUUGGAUUAUUCCAGUAAAUUUUUGGCUUACGCCGUUAACGGGUAUGAAACUGGCAGAAAACGUUUCAAAAUUACCGCGUUACAAGAUCCAGACGAAAACAGUGUCCCCUCGACCGUACAAACUGAAUGUCGUCCACACGGAAACGGUUACACGUGUCCACGGUAGAGCGGCUUGCGCAGAUCAGACGAUAUUUGAAGAUGACUUUGAUGUUCUUCGGGAAGACCUGUGGCAGAUAGAUCAAUAUAUUCCAAAAGAUCAUCCGAACUACUCCUGGAAUCAUUUACAAAGAAAUAUGGCAGCAUGAAUUAUGCCUCCAGCAUUUUGAAGAUUGCUACAGUUUUUGGAAAUAAGCAAUUACCAACCUCUAUACACGAAUAAAUUUCUAAGAGGGAUGGCUUUAACAAAUGCUGUUUGUAAGCCGGUUCGUGAAGAUACUAAGGAAAUUCUUAACGGUACCUGGAGUGAUGAUUUCCAUGUUUAUUCUCUCAAGUGGAAACUGAAUUCUAUAGAGCUAUCUGUUGAUGGAGAAAUAUGGAGUCGUGUCCGUCCAGGGAAAUAUGGACUGAGGUCUUGGAUGCCAAUUUAUUGUCGUGAUAAGUGGUUUAAACUAAUCGAUGGCGGUGGAAAGAUGGCGCCCUUUGAUCAUCAUUUUUAUUUAAGUCUCGGCUUAUUUGUCGGUGGAACAGAAUUCCCAGACUCAUUGAUGACAAGUGAUGGUAGACCCAAGCCGUGGAUUAAUUUACAACGUAAAGCAACAUUGAACUUCUGGAAGGACAAAUCCAACUGGCAUCCAACUUGGACCCAACCCUUAAUAAUUGAUUAUGUCAAAAUCAAAGCGUUAUGAUUUGAUAUUAAAAUUGUUUGCAAAAGUUAUAUUUAGU
Molecule: long non-coding RNA, 1233 nt
Organism: Nymphalis io (European peacock)
Lineage: Eukaryota; Metazoa; Arthropoda; Insecta; Lepidoptera; Nymphalidae
Exons: 7
Source: RefSeq, a predicted model, not a curated record